This 1230-nucleotide ribosomal RNA is filed under the name metagenome. RNAcentral describes it as "bacterial LSU rRNA". It matches the Rfam family "Bacterial large subunit ribosomal RNA", at positions 1688 to 2895 of the family's 2925-position model. The record is from RNAcentral.
GAUCGGGAGAACUGUGGUUAAGGAACUCGGCAAAAUGCCUCCGUAACUUCGGGAGAAGGAGGACCCCAUCAGGGUGAAGGACCUCGCGUCCGGAGCUCGAAGGGGUGGCACAGACCAGGGGAAAGCGACUGUUUACGAAAAACACAGCAGCGUGCGAAGUCGUAAGACGUUGUAUACGCUGUGACGCCUGCCCAAUGCCGGAAGGUUAAAGGGAAAGGUUAGCCCGCAAGGGCGAAGCUUUGAACUGAAGCCCCGGUGAAUGGCGGCCGUAACUAUAACGGUCCUAAGGUAGCGAAAUUCCUUGUCGGGUAAGUUCCGACCUGCACGAAUGGCGUAACGACUUUCCUACUGUCUCAACCACAGACCCGGCGAAAUUGAAGUACGAGUAAAGAUGCUCGUUAGCUGCAGAAGGACGGGAAGACCCCGUGGACCUUUACUAUAGCUUGAUGUUGAGUUUUGUUAUGUGUUGUGUAGGAUAGGUGGGAGACUUGGAAGCAUUGGCGCCAGCCAGUGUGGAGUCAACCUUGAAAUACCACCCUGCUCAUGACGGAGCUCUAACCCACGUCCCUGAUCGGGAUGGGGAACAGCGUCUGGUGGGUAGUUUGACUGGGGCGGUCGCCUCCUAAAGAGUAACGGAGGCGCCCAAAGGUUCCCUCAGGCUGGUUGGCAAUCAGCCGUCGAGUGCAAUGGCACAAGGGAGCUUGACUGCGAGACCUACAAGUCAAGCAGGUGCGAAAGCAGGGCAUAGUGAUCCGGCGGUUGCGUGUGGAAGCGCCGUCGCUCAACGGAUAAAAGGUACCCCGGGGAUAACAGGCUCAUCUUCCCCAAGAGUCCAUAUCGACGGGAAGGUUUGGCACCUCGAUGUCGGCUCAUCGCAUCCUGGGGCUGAAGCAGGUCCCAAGGGUUGGGCUGUUCGCCCAUUAAAGCGGUACGCGAGCUGGGUUUAGAACGUCGUGAGACAGUUCGGUCCCUAUCCUCUGCAGCCAGAAGGAACUUGAGAAAAUCUGUCCCUAGUACGAGAGGACCGGGAUGGACGCAGCUCUCGUGUGCCAGUUGUCCUGCCAAGGGCACUGCUGGUUAGCGACCUGCGGAAGGGAUAAGCGCUGAAAGCAUCUAAGUGCGAAGCCCAUUUCUAGAUGAGGUUCCUCACUGGGUUAACCAGGUAAGGCCCGUGAUAGACCAACACGUUGAUAGGCCGGAAGUGUAAGCGUGGUAACACGUUCAGCUGAC